CCCCUCUAGAUAAAAAGGGCGUGGUUUCAGGCAAAUAACUUUGAUCUCUUCAUUCUAAUAAGAGCCCACCAUAAACAUCUUAUCCAACAACUUGAGUACAUUUGAGCAACAGUACAGCUCUAGCUCUACAGGCAGAGAUUACUUAUCAGCAGAAAGCCAUGAAUACAGAAGAGAUUGAUCUCGAGGCUGAGAUCAAAGAUAUUGCUGACAUUCGUGCGAACCUGUUGUGUCUCCUUAAGCACCAGCAGCGUCUAAGAGAGGUGGUGAGAAGAGGGGUAGACUCUCACAGGCUGGACCCUAAUGUGGCUGAUGUUCAACUCGCCCUCAAUGGAGUAGUGGCCAUGAACAAGUUUGUUAAAGAGAAGAAUCAAGAAUUGGAUAGACUAGAAGAAUGUAUACAACAGUGCAUGAAUCAGAGGAAGUGUGUCGAUGCGUAGACUGCUGGCACACUCAGAAAAUCAAUCAGCUCAUUUGUAUAAUUUUUGUUUGUGAUUUUAUAAUUUCUGAACGUCGUUAAACAGCAAUAAUUGAGUUUAUAUCAACUCUUGAUUGGAA
This is a long non-coding RNA of Halichondria panicea, 555 nucleotides long. RefSeq lists it as uncharacterized. The transcript is spliced from 2 exons. The record is from RefSeq and is a predicted model, not a curated record. NCBI's taxonomy places the organism in Eukaryota, Metazoa, Porifera, Demospongiae, Suberitida, Halichondriidae.